CCUACGGGAGGCAGCAGUGAGGAAUAUUGGUCAAUGGACGCAAGUCUGAACCAGCCAUGCCGCGUGCAGGAAGACUGCUCUAUGGGUUGUAAACUUCUUUUAUACGGGAGUAAAGUCAGCCACGUGUGCCUGUUUGAAUGUACCUUACGAAUAAGGAUCGGCUAACUCCGUGCCAUCAGCCGCGGUAAUCCGGAGGAUCCCAUCGUUAUCCGGAUUUAUUGGGUUUAAAGGGUGCGUAGGUGGUCGGUUAAGUCAGGGGUGAAAGUUUGAGGCUCAACAUCAAAAUUGCAUUUGAUACUGGCAGUCUUGAGGGUAGUUGCGGUAGGCGGAAUGUGUGGUGUAGCGGUGAAAUGCUUAGAGAUCACGCAGAACACCGAUUGCGAAGGCAGCUUACCAAGCUACAUCUGACAUUGAGGCACGAAAGCGUGGGGAGCAAACAGGAUUAGAUACCCUAGUAGUC
RNAcentral lists this ribosomal RNA (460 nucleotides) under uncultured bacterium. RNAcentral describes it as "partial 16S ribosomal RNA". It matches the Rfam family "Bacterial small subunit ribosomal RNA", at positions 338 to 795 of the family's 1533-position model. The record is from RNAcentral.